UCAACCCAGGUGCUCACCAAUGGUCAA
Molecule: non-coding RNA, 27 nt
Filed under: Homo sapiens (human)
Lineage: Eukaryota; Metazoa; Chordata; Mammalia; Primates; Hominidae
Source: RNAcentral